This is an RNA transcript of Octodon degus (degu), 3331 nucleotides long. It is a transcript of the gene named cAMP responsive element binding protein 1, with no coding region annotated. The transcript is spliced from 10 exons. NCBI's taxonomy places the organism in Eukaryota, Metazoa, Chordata, Mammalia, Rodentia, Octodontidae. The record is from RefSeq and is a predicted model, not a curated record.
GCGGCUCCUCAGUCGGCGGCGGCUGCUGCUGCCUGUGGCCCGGGCGGCUGGGAGAAGCGGAGUGUUGGUGAGUGACGCGGCGGAGGUGUAGUUUGACGCGGUGUGUUACGUGGGGGAGAGAAUAAAACUCCAGCGAGAUCCGGGCCGCGAACGAAAGCAGUGACGGAGGCGCUUGUACCACCGGUAACUAAAUGACCAUGGAAUCUGGAGCAGAGAACCAGCAGAGUGGAGAUGCAGCUGUAACAGAAGCUGAAAAUCAACAAAUGACAGUUCAAGCCCAGCCACAGAUUGCCACAUUAGCCCAGGUAUCUAUGCCAGCAGCUCAUGCAACAUCAUCUGCUCCCACCGUAACUUUAGUACAGCUGCCCAAUGGGCAGACAGUUCAAGUCCAUGGAGUUAUUCAGGCGGCCCAACCAUCAGUUAUUCAGUCUCCACAAGUCCAGACAGUUCAGUCUUCCUGUAAGGACUUAAAAAGACUUUUCUUCAGAACACAGAUUUCAACUAUUGCAGAAAGUGAAGAUUCACAGGAAUCAGUGGAUAGCGUAACUGAUUCCCAGAAGCGAAGGGAAAUUCUUUCAAGGAGGCCUUCCUACAGGAAAAUUUUGAAUGACUUAUCUUCUGAUGCACCAGGAGUGCCAAGGAUUGAAGAAGAGAAGUCUGAGGAGGAGACGUCAGCCCCUGCCAUCACCACUGUAACAGUGCCAACUCCAAUUUACCAAACUAGCAGUGGACAGUACAUUGCCAUAACCCAGGGAGGAGCGAUACAGCUGGCUAAUAAUGGUACCGAUGGGGUACAGGGCCUUCAGACAUUAACCAUGACCAAUGCAGCUGCCACCCAGCCGGGUACUACCAUCCUACAGUAUGCACAGACCACUGAUGGACAGCAGAUCUUAGUGCCCAGCAACCAAGUUGUUGUUCAAGCUGCCUCUGGAGAUGUACAGACAUACCAGAUCCGCACAGCACCCACCAGCACCAUCGCCCCUGGAGUUGUCAUGGCAUCCUCCCCCGCACUUCCCGCACAGCCUGCUGAAGAAGCAGCUCGAAAGAGAGAAGUCCGUCUAAUGAAGAACAGGGAAGCUGCUCGUGAGUGUCGUAGAAAGAAGAAAGAGUAUGUGAAAUGUUUAGAAAACAGAGUAGCAGUGCUUGAAAACCAAAACAAGACACUGAUUGAGGAGCUAAAAGCACUUAAGGACCUUUACUGCCACAAAUCAGAUUAAUUUGGGAUUUAAAUUUUCACUUGUUACGGUGGAAUCAAAAUGGACUGGAUUGGCCACAACCAGAAAGACAAAAUAAACAUUUUAUUUUCUAAACAUUUCUUUUUUUUCUAUGCGCAAAACUGCCUGAAAGCAACUACAGAAUUUCAUUCAUUUGUGCUUUUGCAUUAAACUGUGAAUGUUCCAAAACCUGCCUCUACUUCUCCCCUCAAGAAACUUUCAGCGCCAGGAAUCAUGAAGAGACUUCUGCUUUUCAACUCCCACCCUCUCCAAGAAGUAAUAAUUUGUUUACUUGUAAAUUGAUGGGGGAAAUGAGGAAAAUGAAAUUUUUUUAAAUGAUUUCAAGGUUUGUGCUGAGCUCCUUGAUUGCCUUAGGGACAGAAUUACCCUAGCCUCUUGCGCUGAAGUAAUUUGUGGGCCGCAUGCAUAAAGAUGAACAGUUUGUGAAGGAGCAUCAUUCUAAGAAUUGAGUGAUGUAGUCUUUAUAUUUGGACAGUUCACCAGAUUCUCAAGAAGGCUUUCAAACGACUGUAAAGUUUGAUGUUUGUCCUGCUGAGCUAAUGGGGAAACUGAUAGCAUAAAAGUGAUUUUGUAUAACAGCAUAGUAUGUCAUUUUCUAAAUUUGCUUUAACAGAAACCAAGCAAAAGCAAAUCUUUUCACAAACUACAGUUACUUCAAAUUGAGUCAAGUAAAAUUGAACAUUUUGAAUGUCAAAACAAAAAACUGCCUGGUGUAUAGCAAGUUGUCUCUGUAAGUUACCUGUUUUUCUAAAGGUUGAGGCUUUCUGCAGAAUUAGGAAGUUGUGACCCUCUUGGUCCCUAAUGAAUCAAGGCAAUCACAUACGGGUGGGUUUGCAAGUUGUAAAGAACUGGUCCUUUAUUCCUUCAGGAUGAUUGCACUGUUUUGAAGUCAGUUACUUAAUAGGUGAGAAAUGUAUUGUGUUGUUAAGUCUUUAGACCCUUGGAAAGACUUGAAGAUUUUAGUUUAUACAGAUAGAAAUCAGGCAUAUUUUAUGCAAUUUUUUUAAUACAAGAAUUACAAAACAGGUAUUUGUUUUUAAGCUUGUAAUUUUGAGAAUCUUUAUUAAAAUGACAUAAUUUUUAAAAAUCUAGUAGCUAAGAACAUUUAUGGCCACAUUAUCAAUAAUGUUUUUCUCUGCAUAUUGGCUAAAAGGGAAUGAAGAUGUCAUCAUAGGAAUAUGUAUAUAUGCUACUGAUUUGCCUAGAAAAUAGCAAGUUUGGUAUUGCUCAUUUUGCAAAUAUAGGGCCAUGUGGCACUUUUAUCUAUAGGACAGAUUAACUCUAAUAAAAAUGAAGUGGGGAGGGGUUUAUUUUUGAUAUAUUACUAUUAUGAGUUUUCAAGCUUUGAUAGUGUUAAACUGAAAAGUGGUUUAGAAAGGGCUAGAAUCCAAUGUGUUCACAUUAUUAAAAAAAUUGAUAUAAGUUUAAGUUCAUUCUUUUUCAAACCCAAGUACCAUAUUGGCAACCAUAAUAUUGUCAUAGGUGCUCUGUUCAUUUAAAUAUUUGGGAGGGGCUUGGGGAAAUGGCAUUUGUAUAAUAUAUGUGUACAUAUAUAUACAUACAGUAUAUAAUCUAAAGCUCUGAGAGCUCUUAAGUCAGGAAUGCUGAGUAUUAUAGUAUAUUGAAGUCAGAUGAAAUUUUACACUUUUGUGUCUUCUAUUGCAUCCCUUCUGGUAGCUUAAAUGAUGGUAUUACUCCAGCACUCAUGAUUAAUUUUUCAGAUUUUCUUCCAAGAAUUUUAUUUUUUAAUAGUUUUCUUUGGCUUGAUACUUUGAAAUGUUGUAGUCACUUGACUCCCCCCCCCCAAAAAAAAAAAAAAAAAGCAUUUGGUUUUUUUUUUUGUCUCUGGCAGCUAUAACAGUGGUAAGAAUGUUUUGGAAAUAACUUAAAAGGAACCACUGAGUUUUCAAAAAAUCAUCCUGGGGGAGCCAUUUUGGUGUUUUGGUUGAGCAGGGAUUUUUUUUUUUUUGGGGGUGGGGGGGUCCGAAAGUGUGUUUUGACAAUAGGUCAGCAGCAGUGCAAGCAAGUGUCUGAAAGCACAAUACCAGUCAGGCAGGCUGUCCAAUCAGAAGUCAUCUGGCUGAAGUUUAUGUCUG